AAAAAAAGUUGAAGGACUAUUUAAAAUAAGAGUGAAAUGUAAAAGACCACAAACUUAAUUUUGUCCAUUUUAAAGAAACAUUAGAUUUCUAUGUUCAUUCCACACAGUUAUACGCAUAUUAAAUCUUAGACACUUUUUAAAGAUUGGACAAUUUUGGUGUUUCAUAUAGUUUUUAUGAUUAUAUCAAUUUCAUCUAUUAAUUUUAGAUCGGACAGUUGAAAUCAGUUACAUCAGACGCAAUAAUUGCAGGAAAUCAUAUUCCACUUUUGCAUAAUAAUAAGAGGAGAAAGUGAGAGAGAUGGAUAGAGUUUGUUUGUUUAAGAUUCUUAGAAAAAUAAAAUAAAUUCUAACAUUUUAGUUAUAUUGAGUGGUGGUUGUGGAGGGUCAUAAAAGUUUUAAACUUUUACUUUUUAUAAGUAUAAUAAAUAAAAAAAUUUAAAAUAGUCUGGUGACUAUAAAUUUCACUCUUAAAGCAAAUAAAUGAGAUAUAUGAGAUUCGAACCAUAAUCCAUACAUAUAUAUUAUAUAAUAAUAUGAUAUCUCUACCAACUGAGCUAAACUUACGAUGACAAAUAUCAAUAAUUUUAGUUAAAUGUCACUAUACCUCUGCUCCCUUAAAGUGUCUUUUGACGUCGGAUUUAACAUUCUUAUUUAAAUAUAGUUUUGAUAUUUUAAGUGUAGGAUUUAUCAAUUAUAUUUAUACUAUUUGUCAAUUACCUUUACUUUUUCAAUAAAACUAAUUAAUAAUAUAUAUACUAUUAUUAUUAUUAAAUUGUCACGUCUAAAAGAGCUAAAAUGGAUCUUCACUCCUAGUAUUUAUUUUUUUGAACAAGCCACUCCUAGUAUUUAUUAAAAUUUACUCUUAUCAGCAUCACAACUUACAAGAAAAUUAUAGCUUAAAAAUAAAAGGGUCUUGUUAACAUGUGCCCUUAAGGCACAUGUUAAGAUAUACCAAAAUAGAAAUUCAAUAUUUAAUAAUACAAGAAAUUUAAUGCUUCAAAAGUCAAAAUACACAAAUUAGCAUUUAAUAAUUUCUAUUUUUGCUUCCUUAACAUGUGCCUUGAGGGCACAAGUUAACAUUCUCCAAAAUAAAAUACUUAAUUUUCAACUAUUGCGGUGUGACACAUGUACACAUACCCCAAGCGCACAUUGAAACUUGACGACCUUUGGUACAAAUAUAUGUGUCACAUUCUUCAUUAGUAGAGCAAUACAUAGGAUCUGUGAUGUCAAAUAAGAUGAUAUUACUAAAAAUGAUGAAUGAUUUUGUAUAUUAUGAAGAAGAAAACUUGAAAUGAGUGUUAAAAAGAACUUACCAUCAUCACUAUCACUAGUUACAAGAACAAUUAGAAAAAGAAAAAUCACAAAAACAACAGUAACGAAUUUGAGAAUUUCAACCAUAUUUUUCCUCAUUUGUAUGUAAUAAGUAAAAACUUGGUUGGUCUCUUUAUAAGUAAAAACCCCAUGAAUUAUUAACUUCAAAUUAGGUGGUUAAUUAGUACUUACAUAGUUUCAAGAAGGUAUUCAUAAGUUAAAGAUUAAUUGUUAAGUGUCUCUUCUUAACUUUCUUUUUCCAUCCUUCGUAUUUUAAUAUAUUUUUAAAGUGUUA
RNAcentral lists this long non-coding RNA (1606 nucleotides) under Trifolium pratense (red clover). RNAcentral describes it as "long non-coding RNA (TPRA_LNC004806)". The record is from RNAcentral. Lineage: Eukaryota; Viridiplantae; Streptophyta; Magnoliopsida; Fabales; Fabaceae.